RNAcentral lists this unclassified non-coding RNA (62 nucleotides) under Mucilaginibacter lappiensis. Its description in RNAcentral is "Flavo-1 RNA". Lineage: Bacteria; Pseudomonadati; Bacteroidota; Sphingobacteriia; Sphingobacteriales; Sphingobacteriaceae. The record is from RNAcentral.
UACCGUUAAGGAUAGCAAUGAAAAUCCUUUGAAAAAGAUUGUAAUGGGUAGCCCGGGCCACA